This 224-nucleotide ribosomal RNA is filed under the name Atlantibacter subterraneus. Its description in RNAcentral is "Atlantibacter subterranea partial 23S ribosomal RNA". It matches the Rfam family "Bacterial large subunit ribosomal RNA", at positions 1 to 216 of the family's 2925-position model. The record is from RNAcentral. Lineage: Bacteria; Pseudomonadati; Pseudomonadota; Gammaproteobacteria; Enterobacterales; Enterobacteriaceae.
GGGUUGUGAGGUUAAGCGACCAAGCGUACACGGUGGAUGCCCUGGCAGUCAGAGGCGAUGAAGGACGUGCUAAUCUGCGAAAAGCGUCGGUAAGGUGAUAUGAACCGUUAUAACCGACGAUGUCCGAAUGGGGAAACCCAGUGCAAUUCGUUGCACUAUCGUUAACUGAAUACAUAGGUUAACGAGGCGAACCGGGGGAACUGAAACAUCUAAGUACCCCGAGG